GGGCCAGUAGCUCAGUUGGCAGAGCCCCCGGCUCAUAACCGGAUGGUCCCAGGUUCGAAUCCUGGUUGGCCCACCA
RNAcentral lists this transfer RNA (76 nucleotides) under Desulfovibrio sp. Its description in RNAcentral is "tRNA-Met". It matches the Rfam family "tRNA". Rfam says of the family: Transfer RNA (tRNA) molecules are approximately 80 nucleotides in length. Their secondary structure includes four short double-helical elements and three loops (D, anti-codon, and T loops). Further hydrogen bonds mediate the characteristic L-shaped molecular structure. tRNAs have two regions of fundamental functional importance: the anti-codon, which is responsible for specific mRNA codon recognition, and the 3' end, to which the tRNAs corresponding amino acid is attached (by aminoacyl-tRNA synthetases). tRNAs cope with the degeneracy of the genetic code in two manners: having more than one tRNA (with a specific anti-codon) for a particular amino acid; and 'wobble' base-pairing, i.e. permitting non-standard base-pairing at the 3rd anti-codon position. The record is from RNAcentral. RNAcentral also lists the same sequence under 3 other names. Lineage: Bacteria; Pseudomonadati; Thermodesulfobacteriota; Desulfovibrionia; Desulfovibrionales; Desulfovibrionaceae.